Non-coding RNA from Paramuricea clavata, 92 nucleotides. Lineage: Eukaryota; Metazoa; Cnidaria; Anthozoa; Malacalcyonacea; Plexauridae. The record is from the annotation of a GenBank genome assembly.
UUUGCAAAGUUUGCAAAUUUUGUAUACUUUUGUAUUGCAUGCGAAAAUUGCAAUACAAAAGUAUACAAAAUUUGCAAACUUUGGAAGGCUAU